This 2325-nucleotide unclassified non-coding RNA is filed under the name uncultured fungus. RNAcentral describes it as "sequence contains 18S rRNA gene, ITS1, 5.8S rRNA gene, ITS2, 28S rRNA gene". The stretch from base 860 to 2325 matches the Rfam family "Eukaryotic large subunit ribosomal RNA", at positions 1 to 1126 of the family's 3401-position model. Lineage: Eukaryota; Fungi. The record is from RNAcentral.
GGAAGGAUCAUUAUCACGAAUAUCCACUAUUCAAACCAACCGUGAACUGUUCUCCUCCCGAGUUGAAUAUAAAUUAUAAUUUAUUUUAUAAUUUUAAUACAGCUCGGCUACCAUUAUAUAUUAUUAUUAUAUGAUAAUAUAUAUUUAUCAAUUAACAAACCCCAAUCAUUUAAAUUGAACCUUAUUGCUUUGUUUCUCUUCUCUUUUGAAUUGAAUACAGAACAAUUACUCAACACACUAAAAAAGCCAUCAUAUAUCUUUAUUGAAUGUAUGUUGUUGUUUUUUUAUCUCUAUUACGAAAUUUACGUAUAGUUUUAUAAAACAACUCUUAGCAAUGGAUAUCUUGGUUCUCGCAACGAUGAAGAACGCAGCGAAAUGCGAUAUGUAAUGCGAAUUGCAGAAUUCAGUGAAUCAUCAAAUCUUUGAACGCAAAUUGCGCUCUCGGGAUAUACCUGUGAGCACGCUCCUUUGAGUAUCGGUUCUAAUACAACUCAACUGUUUCUCUAUAAAAUGAUAAAUAAGUUGGAUAAUGAGUGUUGUUCUUGAGAUAUAUAAUAAUUUAAUUAUUAUUAUCUACCUCAAGUCACUUUAAAGAUGUCGAGUUAAGUGAUGUCCAUCACACAUACCGUUUGAGAGCUGCUAUGAAAACAGUUGCUUUGCACUAUGAAACAUAGAGUGACGUAGAUAAUCUCACCUUUACGGUGUUAAACUAUUUUGCGUCAUAUAACUUUAUGUUCGACUGUGUUUAAAGUUAGCUUUGUAGCUCUCCUUUGUGUAGGGAAUGUUAAGCUUAACGUGUACAGGGUUUACUUUAUACCUAAACCCAUCUCAAUUGAAUUUAAUUAUUCUAUUGAAUUAUAGAUCUCAAAUGGAGCGAGAAUACCCCCUGAAUUUAAGCAUAUUAAUAAGGGGAGGAAAAGAAACUAACAAGGAUUCCCUUAGUAACGGCGAGUGAAGCGGGAAGAGCUCAAAUUGAAAAUCGUGAACCCAAGCGGGUUCUUGAAUUGUUUUCUAGAGACGUGUUGUCAGCGGUGACCUAGAUUGAAGUCCCUUGAAACAGGGCAUCAUAGAGGGUGAGAAUCCCGUCUGAAAUCUGGAGUUCGCCGCGUACGACGCAUGAUCAUCGAGUCGAGUUGUUUGGGAUUGCAGCUCUAAUUGGGUGGUAAGUUUCAUCUAAAGCUAAAUAUUGGCGAGAGACCGAUAGCGAACAAGUACCGUGAGGGAAAGAUGAAAAGAACUUUGAAAAGAGAGUUAAAAAGUACUUGAAAUUGUUAAGAGGGAAGCGCUGAAAUUCAGUCAUUUGCUCUAGGUUAUUUUGCUAUUUGCUUACGAAGGAUAAGGUGAUCAAGUGUGUAAACCUUGAUUGUUUUUAUUGGACGAUAGGUGAGUGGUUUCUGUAAUUUAGAGUGAGUCAAAAUCUUUUCGAGACGCGUGAGAAAGCUAUGAGGAAGGUAGGUUAGGUAGCAAUAUCUAACUGUUAUAGCCUUGUAGCCCUAACGUGUCUUGGAUUGAGGAAAGUGAUAUAACGCGCCGCAGGCUUGGUAGCUCAUUUCUGCUGAUUGAUCAUGGUCAAGAUAACAAUGUUAUGUAGCUGUGAUCAGUUGGUACUAGGUGGGACUAUUUUAUGCGUUAUCGCGAUUUUGACGAAAUGGAUUUCAUCGACCCGUCUUGAAACACGGACCAAGGAGUCUAACAUAUAUGCGAGUAUUUGGGUGGAAAACUCAUAUGCGUAAUGAAAGUAAAGGCUGGCUUGCUAGCUGUGGUAGGAAUCGUCGCAAGGCGAGGCACUAUCGACCGAUCAUCACUUGUGAAAGAUUUGAGUAAGAGCAUAUCUGUUGGGACCCGAAAGAUGGUGAUCUAUGCCUGAACAGGGUGAAGCCAGGGGAAACUCUGGUGGAGGCUCGUAGCGAUACUGACGUGCAAAUCGUUCGUCUGAUUUGGGUAUAGGGGCGAAAGACUAAUCGAACCAUCUAGUAAGGUGGUUAAGAAUUGCUCUAUAACGGGCAGUUAGUAAAUAAAUAUCAAUCAGGAUAUAUAUUUGCUAGACAUUCAAAUUGCAGGAACCUCUCGUAUAAUGUAUAUCUACCAAGUAAAGAAUGGAAACAUUCCUUAUGGCUUCGUCGAAAGGUCGAAGGUAUGGUAAUAAUGAUAUAUUUGAGAUUACCCGCAGCCAAACACUAAGGUUUAUCUUAAUAAAUAAACUAUGUGCGCAGUUAAGAGACUAAAUGUGUGUCGGUGCAUAUUCUAUAUAGAAUAUCUACUUAAGAUAUAGUCCACUCCUGAUAGUAGAUAUCAGGUAAUGUAAGGCUAGUAGCUGGUUCCCUC